GUGCUCGCUUUGGCAGCACAUAUACUAAAAUUGGAAUGAUACAAAGAUUAGCAUGACCAAUGCACAAGGAUGACAUGCAAAGUCAUGAAGAGUUCCAUAUUUUU
This 104-nucleotide small nuclear RNA is filed under the name Moschus moschiferus (Siberian musk deer). The record is from RNAcentral. Lineage: Eukaryota; Metazoa; Chordata; Mammalia; Artiodactyla; Moschidae.